UAGCUCAGUUGGUUAGAGCGCUACGUUGACAUCGUAGAGGUCAUUGGUUCGAAUCCAUUACCG
RNAcentral lists this transfer RNA (63 nucleotides) under Bacteroidota bacterium. RNAcentral's name for it is "Bacteroidetes bacterium (bioreactor sludge metagenome) tRNA-Val". It matches the Rfam family "tRNA", at positions 8 to 63 of the family's 71-position model. From Rfam's summary of the family: Transfer RNA (tRNA) molecules are approximately 80 nucleotides in length. Their secondary structure includes four short double-helical elements and three loops (D, anti-codon, and T loops). Lineage: Bacteria; Pseudomonadati; Bacteroidota. The record is from RNAcentral.